GACGAACGCUGGCGGCGUGCUUAACACAUGCAAGUCGAACGGAAAGGCCUCUUUCGGGGGUUGCUCGAGUGGCGAACGGGUGAGUAACACGUGAGUAACUUGCCCUUGACUUUGGGAUACCUUCAGGAAACUGGGGCUAUUACCGAAUAGGAGCUCCUGCUGCAUGGUGGGGGUUGGAAAGUUUUGGCGGUUGGGGGUGGACUCGCGGCUUAUCCGCUUGUUGGGGGGGAAGUGGCUUACCAAGGCUUUGACGGGUAGCCGGCCAGAGAGGGUGACCGGCCGUCCUGGGUCUUACGGAAGGCCCCGAUGCCGACGGGUGGAAGCAGGGGGGAAUAUUGAACCAGGGGUGGAAGCCGGGUGAAGAAAGGCUUUGUGUGGUAUAACAGCUUUAGGGGUGUAAAACGCUUUUGAUUUUGAACAAGCUUUGUGUGACGGUAGUGGGUAAAGAAGCACCGGCUAACUACGUG
Molecule: ribosomal RNA, 467 nt
Filed under: uncultured bacterium
Lineage: Bacteria
Description: partial 16S ribosomal RNA
Rfam family: Bacterial small subunit ribosomal RNA
Source: RNAcentral